Molecule: ribosomal RNA, 393 nt
Filed under: uncultured bacterium
Lineage: Bacteria
Description: partial 16S ribosomal RNA
Rfam family: Bacterial small subunit ribosomal RNA
Source: RNAcentral
AUACGGAGGAUGCAAGCGUUAUCCGGAUUUAUUGGGUUUAAAGGGUGCGUAGGCGGUUUGCUAAGCGGGAGGUGAAAUGCCGGCGCUCAACGUCGGAAGUGCCUCCCGAACUGGUGGACUGGAAUGACUCUGCCGUGGGAGGAAUGUGUAGUGUAGCGGUGAAAUGCUUAGAGAUUACACAGAACACCGAUUGCGAAGGCAUCUCACGAAGGGUUGAUUGACGCUGAGGCACGAAAGCGUGGGGAUCAAACAGGAUUAGAUACCCUGGUAGUCCGCACAGUAAACGAUGGAUACUCGCUGUCGGCGAUAUACGGUCGGUGGCCAAGCGAAAGCGUUAAGUAUCCCACCUGGGGAGUACGCCGGCAACGGUGAAACUCAAAUGAAUUGACGGGG